RNAcentral lists this ribosomal RNA (638 nucleotides) under uncultured soil bacterium. RNAcentral describes it as "bacterial SSU rRNA". It matches the Rfam family "Bacterial small subunit ribosomal RNA", at positions 35 to 668 of the family's 1533-position model. The record is from RNAcentral.
GCUGGCGGCGUGCUUAACACAUGCAAGUCGAACGCGCAGCAUUCUGUAGCAAUACAGGCUGUGGGCGCGUGGCGAACGGGUGCGUAACACGUGGAUAACCUUCCUUGAGGUGGGGAAUAACCCAGUGAAAAUUGGGCUAAUACCGCAUAACAUCGCGAUGGCACAUGCUGAUGCGAUCAAAGGCGCAAGUCGCCACAAGAGGGAUCCGCGGCCGAUUAGCUUGUUGGCGAGGUAAUGGCUCACCAAGGCAAUGAUCGGUAGCCGGACUGAGAGGUUGGCCGGCCACACUGGAACUGAGACACGGUCCAGACUCCUACGGGAGGCAGCAGUGGGGAAUCUUGCACAAUGGACGAAAGUCUGAUGCAGCAACGCCGCGUGGGGGAUGAAACUUCUCGGAGUGUAAACCCCUUUCGACCCGGAAGAAUGCCCGCAAGGGUAUGACGGUACGGGUAUAAGAAGCCCCGGCUAACUACGUGCCAGCAGCCGCGGUAAUACGUAGGGGGCCAGCGUUGCUCGGAAUUACUGGGCGUAAAGGGUCCGUAGGCGGUGUAGCAAGUCGAUAGUGAAAUCUCUGGGCUUAACCCAGAGGCUGCUAACGAAACUGCUGUGCUAGAGUGUGAGGAGAGGCGAGUGGAAUU